GCAUCGGUGGUUCAGUGGCAGAAUGCUCGCCUGCCUCGCAGGCGGCCCGGGCUCGAUUUCCGGCCGAUGCA
Molecule: non-coding RNA, 71 nt
Organism: Papilio xuthus (Asian swallowtail)
Lineage: Eukaryota; Metazoa; Arthropoda; Insecta; Lepidoptera; Papilionidae
Source: Rfam